AUUGAACGCUGGCGGCAGGCCUAACACAUGCAAGUCGAGCGGAUGAAGGGAGCUUGCUCCUGGAUUCAGCGGCGGACGGGUGAGUAAUGCCUAGGAAUCUGCCUGGUAGUGGGGGAUAACGUCCGGAAACGGGCGCUAAUACCGCAUACGUCUUGAGGGAGAACGUGGGGGAUCUUCGGACCUCACGCUAUCAGAUGAGCCUAGGUCGGAUUAGCUAGUUGGUGGGGUAAAGGCCUACCAAGGCGACGAUCCGUAACUGGUCUGAGAGGAUGAUCAGUCACACUGGAACUGAGACACGGUCCAGACUCCUACGGGAGGCAGCAGUGGGGAAUAUUGGACAAUGGGCGAAAGCCUGAUCCAGCCAUACCGCGUGUGUGAAGAAGGUCUUCGGAUUGUAAAGCACUUUAAGUUGGGAAGAAGGGCAGUAAGUUAAUACCUUGCUGUUUUGACGUUACCAACAGAAUAAGCACCGGCUAACUUCGUG
Molecule: ribosomal RNA, 484 nt
Filed under: uncultured bacterium
Lineage: Bacteria
Description: partial 16S ribosomal RNA
Rfam family: Bacterial small subunit ribosomal RNA
Source: RNAcentral